This 497-nucleotide ribosomal RNA is filed under the name uncultured bacterium. Its description in RNAcentral is "partial 16S ribosomal RNA". It matches the Rfam family "Bacterial small subunit ribosomal RNA", at positions 28 to 507 of the family's 1533-position model. The record is from RNAcentral.
GAUGAACGCUGGCGGCGUGCCUAAUACAUGCAAGUCGAGCGAACAGACGAGGAGCUUGCUCCUCUGACGUUAGCGGCGGACGGGUGAGUAACACGUGGAUAACCUACCUAUAAGACGGGGAUAACUUCGGGAAACCGGAGCUAAUACCGGAUAAUAUAUUGAACCGCAUGGUUCAAUAGUGAAAGACGGUUUUGCUGUCACUUAUAGAUGGAUCCGCGCCGCAUUAGCUAGUUGGUAAGGUAACGGCUUACCAAGGCAACGAUGCGUAGCCGACCUGAGAGGGUGAUCAGCCACACUGGAACUGAGACACGGUCCAGACUCCUACGGGAGGCAGCAGUAGGGAAUCUUCCGCAAUGGGCGAAAGCCUGACGGAGCAACGCCGCGUGAGUGAUGAAGGUCUUCGGAUCGUAAAACUCUGUUAUUAGGGAAGAACAAAUGUGUAAGUAACUAUGCACGUCUUGACGGUACCUAAUCAGAAAGCCACGGCUAACUACGUG